CAGGGCUUGACAUCUAACUAACCCGAAAGAAAUUUUGGGGUGCUCUUCGGAGAGUGUUAAGACAGGUGGUGCACGGUUGUCGUCAGCUCGUGUCGUGAGAUGUUGGGUUAAGUCCCGCAACGAGCGCAACCCUCGUCGUUAGUUGGUAUUAAUGGUAUACUGUUAAUAACCUCUCUAGCGAGACUGCCGGUGAUAAACCGGAGGAAGGUGAGGACGACGUCAAAUCAUCAUGCCCCUUAUGCUCUGGGCUACACACGUGUUACAAUGGUCGGUACAACGAGCAGCCAACUCGCGAGAGUGAGCAAAUCUCUAAAAGCCGGUCUCAGUUCGGAUUGCACUCUGCAACUCGAGUGCAUGAAGUCGGAAUCGCUAGUAAACGCAGAUCAGCACGCUGCGUUGAAUACGUUCCC
RNAcentral lists this ribosomal RNA (410 nucleotides) under uncultured bacterium. RNAcentral describes it as "bacterial SSU rRNA". It matches the Rfam family "Bacterial small subunit ribosomal RNA", at positions 975 to 1375 of the family's 1533-position model. The record is from RNAcentral.